GGGGCAGUAGCUCAGUGGUAGAGCUUCCGCUUUAUACGCGGAAAUAACUGUGUUCGAUUCCCGGCUACUUCC
Molecule: transfer RNA, 72 nt
Filed under: Toxocara canis (dog roundworm)
Lineage: Eukaryota; Metazoa; Nematoda; Chromadorea; Rhabditida; Toxocaridae
Rfam family: tRNA
About the family: Transfer RNA (tRNA) molecules are approximately 80 nucleotides in length. Their secondary structure includes four short double-helical elements and three loops (D, anti-codon, and T loops).
Source: Rfam by way of RNAcentral